This 426-nucleotide ribosomal RNA is filed under the name uncultured Actinomycetes bacterium. Its description in RNAcentral is "bacterial SSU rRNA". It matches the Rfam family "Bacterial small subunit ribosomal RNA", at positions 958 to 1385 of the family's 1533-position model. Lineage: Bacteria; Bacillati; Actinomycetota; Actinomycetes. The record is from RNAcentral.
AACGCGAAGAACCUUACCUGGGCUUGACAUGUGAGUGACCGGUGUGGAAACACACCUUCCCUUCGGGGCACUUUCACAGGUGGUGCAUGGCUGUCGUCAGCUCGUGUCGUGAGAUGUUGGGUUAAGUCCCGCAACGAGCGCAACCCCCGUCGCAUGUUGCCAGCAUUUAGUUGGGGACUCAUGCGAGACUGCCGGUGACAAACCGGAGGAAGGUGGGGAUGACGUCAAGUCCUCAUGCCCCUUAUGUCCAGGGCUACACACGUGCUACAUUGGCGCGUACAGAGGGCUGCGAUACCGCGAGGUGGAGCGAAUCCCUUAAAGCGCGUCUCGGUUCGGAUUGCAGGCUGAAAUUCGCCUGCAUGAAGGCGGAGUUGCUAGUAAUCGCGGAUCAGCACUGCCGCGGUGAAUACGUUCCCGGGCCUUGUA